RNAcentral lists this ribosomal RNA (119 nucleotides) under Triticum aestivum (bread wheat). Lineage: Eukaryota; Viridiplantae; Streptophyta; Magnoliopsida; Poales; Poaceae. The record is from RNAcentral.
GGAUGUGAUCAUACCAGCACUAAAGCACCAGAUCCCAUCAGAACUCCAAAGUUAAGCGUGCUUGGGUGAGAGUAGUACUAGGAUGGGUGACCUCCUGGGAAGUCCACGUGUUGCAUUCC